UACGUAGGGUGCGAGCGUUAAUCGGAAUUACUGGGCGUAAAGCGUGCGCAGGCGGUUCGUUGUGUCGGCGGUGAAAGCCCCGGGCUUAACCUGGGAAUGGCCGUUGAAACUGGCGAACUGGAGUGUGGCAGAGGGGGGUGGAAUUCCGGCGUGUAGCAGUGAAAUGCGUAGAGAUGCGGAGGAACACCGAUGGCGAAGGCA
Molecule: ribosomal RNA, 201 nt
Filed under: uncultured bacterium
Lineage: Bacteria
Description: partial 16S ribosomal RNA
Rfam family: Bacterial small subunit ribosomal RNA
Source: RNAcentral